AGCAAAUAACCAAGAAGCGAGACAGAAUCAAUAAGACUAGCCAAGUUCGGCUUUGGUGAAGCUUCCAUGAGUUGUGAGGAGUUCAGUACUCUGCAAGUUUGAUCUUAUUCGGCGAACAGAAAUUCUACCAACACGAUGCAUGAUCUUCAAGUAGUUGGAGGAUCAAUAGCUCAACAACAUAAUUACAACACAUGGGCGAUAUGCAUAGAGUCUUACUUGCAAGUUUGAUCUUGUUUAGUGGAUCAAAAUUCUGUCAACAUGAUGGGUGAUCUUCAAGUAGUUGGAGGAAUCAAGAGGCACAAAAACAAAAAUUACAACACGUAAGUGAGAUGUCUUUGCAAUAAGACUCCAUUCAUGUUGUCUAUGUGUUGUAAUUUUUGUUGUUGGGCCUCUUGAUCCUUCAACUACUUGAAGAUCACGCAUUGCACUGGCAUAAUUUCGCUACGCCGAAUAAGAUCAAACUUGCAGAGUACUGAACUCCUCACGACUCAAGGAAGCUCCACCAAAGUUGAACUUAGCUCUGAUACCAAUUGUUGAGAAAAUUAGAGUACACAACUCUAAGUGUUGGAGAGACAAAACAAAUAAGCAAAUUACUUGUAUUACACCCACAAAUAUUACAAUGUUGUGUUUGGCUCAUAUAAUUAUGAGUUGGCAACCAUUUCCUCUCAA
Molecule: non-coding RNA, 669 nt
Organism: Malus domestica (apple)
Lineage: Eukaryota; Viridiplantae; Streptophyta; Magnoliopsida; Rosales; Rosaceae
Source: RefSeq, a predicted model, not a curated record